Molecule: transfer RNA, 72 nt
Filed under: Oryzias latipes (Japanese medaka)
Lineage: Eukaryota; Metazoa; Chordata; Actinopteri; Beloniformes; Adrianichthyidae
Description: tRNA-Cys (GCA) (tRNA-Cys-GCA-25-1)
Rfam family: tRNA
About the family: Transfer RNA (tRNA) molecules are approximately 80 nucleotides in length. Their secondary structure includes four short double-helical elements and three loops (D, anti-codon, and T loops). Further hydrogen bonds mediate the characteristic L-shaped molecular structure. tRNAs have two regions of fundamental functional importance: the anti-codon, which is responsible for specific mRNA codon recognition, and the 3' end, to which the tRNAs corresponding amino acid is attached (by aminoacyl-tRNA synthetases). tRNAs cope with the degeneracy of the genetic code in two manners: having more than one tRNA (with a specific anti-codon) for a particular amino acid; and 'wobble' base-pairing, i.e. permitting non-standard base-pairing at the 3rd anti-codon position.
Source: Rfam by way of RNAcentral
UGGGGUAUAGCUCAGUGGUAGAGCAUUUGACUGCAGAUCAAGAGGUCCCCAGUUCAACUCUGGGUGCCCCUG